This 1195-nucleotide long non-coding RNA is filed under the name Rattus norvegicus (Norway rat). RNAcentral describes it as "long non-coding RNA NONRATT004272". Lineage: Eukaryota; Metazoa; Chordata; Mammalia; Rodentia; Muridae. The record is from RNAcentral.
CAACAUAGAGAAAUCCCUGCUAAUGGCCUAAUUCCAUUCCUAGAAACUCCAGAUGCUCCUAAUCGACCAGAAAACCUUAAUUGUGUUAUAUGUUUAGUUGCACCCUAAAUCUGGGUGCCAAGAUUCUGAUGUCACCAAAAAGCCUCGAUACCAUGAACAGUCAGCACUAUAAACUGUGCACCUGAGGAGGGGCAAGGUCCCUGGGGAAGUAUUUCUCUUCCGUGGGGGCAGGACUCUGAAAGUAUGCAGAGAACUCGUGCAGGUCACAUGAUCUCCCCAAAUGCAUCUGUGAUGGGUAUGGCAGGACAAGAACUCCUUAGCUCUGAGGGAAAUCCAACUUAUUUGCGUAAGUGAAUGUUCUCAGUUGGAACCUGCGUCAUCACACAGGCCUGUUGGAUGGUCCCAACAUGUAUGUGAGUGAACGUUCUCAGUCAGAACCUGCCUCAUCCAUCAGGCAGGCCUGUUGGAUGGUCUGUGUCAUUGAUCAUACAUCUGUUUCAGUCAAGUUGAGUCAUGACCUGAGCUUCAAUUGAUGUAGUUAUCCGGGUACUUUUUCCCCCACACAUUCCUUGAGCAUCAUCUCUCUGAAAACUCAAUGUUGCACCUACUAACUUGACGUUGACUAAAUGAGCAAUUCUGUGCCCAUUAGUUUCUUUCACAGUAUGGAGGAGCAAAACCAGGACCUCGCACAGGCUAGGCAAGAACUGCUCUGCUGAGCUCCACUUCCAGCGCUGUGUGCAUUAACUUUGAAAUGCAUUUCUGGUGAGGCAAAUAACACCUUGAAAGCCCAGAUCUGAGGAGCACUGGCUUUUUAAAUGUUUAAUGUAUGUUCGAUCAAUUAAAAUUGAACGUCAUUACCUGACUCAGAUAUCUAUGUUAUUGGAAGGGCAAGGAGUUUUGCAUUUCAAAUUUUAAAAUGUUUUCCAUUGUCCUUACUUGACUAAAACCCCAUAGUUGACUUGGAUUCCAUCAGCGUUUUGAGCAGUGCAGUUUUAGGCAAACGAUUUUAAAAACUACCCUCCUUCUAUUCACAUCUUGCUGUAGUUAGGUGUGAUUAAUUACAGACAAACUUUGUUUAUUGUUUGUUUCUCCCAAAAUCUUAUGCUUCUGUUGAACUUCACAACCUGUGUGGGGACCAUCACACUUAAUGGGAGGGUACAAAUGCGCUCAGAAAGUAAACAGUGGGCCUUAAAUG